GUGCUUGCUUCAGCUGCACCUUUGUUAAAAUUGGAAUGCUGCAGAGAAGAUUAGCAUGGCCCCUGUGCAAGGAUGACAGGCAGAUUCAUGAAGCGUUCCGUAUUUAA
This 107-nucleotide small nuclear RNA is filed under the name Catagonus wagneri (Chacoan peccary). The record is from RNAcentral. Lineage: Eukaryota; Metazoa; Chordata; Mammalia; Artiodactyla; Tayassuidae.